AGCGAACGCUGGCGGCGUGCUUAACACAUGCAAGUCGAGUGCGCAGUUUCCUAUAGCAAUACAGGAAAUGGGCGCACGGCGCACGGGUGCGUAACACGUGGACAAUCUACCCUUUGAUGGGGAAUAACCCGCCGAAAGGCGGGCUAAUACCGCAUAACAUCCCACUCGCUUCGGCGAUAGGGAUCAAAGCCCGCAAGGGCGUCAUUGGAGGAGUCCGCGGCCGAUUAGCUAGCUGGUGAGGUAAUGGCUCACCAAGGCUUGGAUCGGUAGCCGGUCUGAGAGGACGAUCGGCCACACUGGAACUGAGACACGGUCCAGACUCCCACGGGAGGCAGCAGUGGGGAAUCUUGCGCAAUGGGCGAAAGCCUGACGCAGCGACGCCGCGUGGGGGAUGAAGCUUCUCGGAGUGUAAACCCCUUUCGACCCGGACGAAUGACCCGCAAGGGUUUGACGGUACGGGGAGAAGAAGCCCCGGCUAACUACGUGCCAGCAGCCGCGGUAAGAC
RNAcentral lists this ribosomal RNA (505 nucleotides) under uncultured bacterium. Its description in RNAcentral is "bacterial SSU rRNA". It matches the Rfam family "Bacterial small subunit ribosomal RNA", at positions 29 to 526 of the family's 1533-position model. The record is from RNAcentral.